UUAUCUUUUCCAGAUUUAACUUUGGUACCUUGUAUCUGUUUAGAAAAUUGUUCAUUCCUCCAGAUUUUCCAGCUUUUUGCUAUUAGAUUUUUGAUUUUUUUUUUAGUAUAGGCUUUUGUAAAAAUAUCUGAUAGUUUUUUUGAAUUUCCGCAGUUUCUGCUGUUAUGUCACCCUUUUCAUUUCUGAUUUUCUUAAUUUACAUAAUGUCCUUUGCUUUCUGGUUUGUUUGGCUAAGGUUUUUUUAUCUUAUUGAUUUUCCCAAAGAGCCAGUUCCUGGUAUUGCUGAUUCUCUAUAUACUUCUUUUUGUUUCUACUUGGUUGAUUUCAGCCUUGAGUUUGAGUUUAUUUCCUGUCUUCUACUCCUCUUCAGUGUAUUUGUUUCUUUUUGUUCUAGAGCUUUCAGAUUUGCUGUCAAGCUUCUAUUGUAUGCUUUCUCCAGGUUCAUUUUGGAGGCACGUGGAGCUAUGAGUUUUCCUCCCAGGAAUGCUUUUAUUGUGUCACAUAAGUUUGGGUACGUUGUGCCUUCAUUAUCAUUACGUGCUAAAAGGUCUUUAAUUUCUUUCUUUAUUUCUUCUUUGAUCCAGUUAUCAUUGAGUAGAGUGUUGUUCAGCUUCCUCAUGUACUUUGUGGGCUUUC
RNAcentral lists this long non-coding RNA (636 nucleotides) under Rattus norvegicus (Norway rat). Its description in RNAcentral is "long non-coding RNA NONRATT016801". Lineage: Eukaryota; Metazoa; Chordata; Mammalia; Rodentia; Muridae. The record is from RNAcentral.